UGGUUGGAUUUCAUCCCUUACUGGUCUCAACCAAAAUAUUCCUGUUGGAAUCAUGAUGAUAAUCAUAGCAGCACUUUUCACAGCAUCAGCAGUCAUUUCACUAGUUAUGUUCAAAAAAGUACAUGGACUGUAUCGCACAACAGGUGCUAGCUUUGAGAAGGCCCAACAAGAGUUUGCAACAGGUGUGAUGUCCAACAAAACUGUCCAGACCGCAGCUGCAAAUGCAGCUUCAACUGCAGCAUCUAGUGCAGCUCAGAAUGCUUUCAAGGGUAACCAGAUUUAAGAAUCUUCAAACAAUACACUGUUACCUUUUGACUGUACCUUUUUCUCCAGUUACUGUAUUCUACAAAUAUUUUUAUGUUCAAAACACACAGUACAGACAGCAUGGAUAUUUCCUGUUCACUUGUGCAUGGGCUAAAACCAGGAAAACUUCCUUGUCUUAUUACUUUACCUAAUAGUUUCUUAAUAUUUCAGUGCCCCUUGCAGAAAAAAUAUUACAUGCUAAAUAAAUAUUCUCCAUAUUUUUUGGGGGAUGACAUUCAGUGAAUUAUUUCAGUGGUGACCCACUGAAAAUUAAUAAUGGUACUUAUGAUUAAAAAUGCAUUUAAUACUAACUGCAGUAGUUCUUUCAAGAAUCUUUAGAGAUAAGGAUUGCACAUUGGAAAAGUAAACCAUGUUUCAUUCCUUUUUCCCUAUUUAUAUUGAAAGAAAUAGGCCAGCAGAGACUUAGGGAUUUUAAAUUGGCUUGCUUUUUAGCUGUUUCAGUCACCAGUGAAGAGCCUAUGUGCAUUUUGUAGUAGAUAAUGUAAAAUUUGUCAUCUUUUUCUUUUCUUUUUUUUAGAAUAGCUGAUAUUUUGAUAACAAUCUCUAAUUUGCAUGGGCACCACAUUUCUUAUAUUAAAAGAAUUAGUGUUUUGGCUUCUGUACUGCUUAUGGUUGUAGGAUUCAGGGGUUAAUGGAAUCACAGAAAUGAUAUUCUACAAGAAUUUCUUUUAAAUAAAAAGUUUGGGGGUGCAAUAUAAGAAGUUUAUAUAAUAUGCAGUACAUUAUCCAAAAGAGAAGGUAGUUAAUGCAGUAGAAAGUAGUGGUAAUAAUUCCUUUUUAAAAAAAAUUUCGGUAGUCAUAUAGUAACAUUUUGCUAUAUGAAAACUUUGGUAUAUUCUGUGGUUACAACUAAGAUUGUGUCUGGCAGCUCUUUUUUGGGGAUGUGUGUGUGUGAUUUUUAACAGAGGUAUUAAAGGCUAGCCUAACUGUUGUCUAAAAAGAAUGUACAGUAUUUAAGGGAUUUUCCUUUUAGCUUUUCAUCUCCAGUGGCAUUAAACAUAAAAAGACCCUGGCAUUUUUUCAUAUACUUGAAUCCCUAAAUGCACCUGUCUUUCACUUUUUGAGACAGACUGAAUAUAUCUAAAAUUUCCAGCAAUAAAAAAAAAGCAUUUAACUUGCAC
RNAcentral lists this small RNA (1445 nucleotides) under Pongo abelii (Sumatran orangutan). RNAcentral describes it as "processed transcript". Lineage: Eukaryota; Metazoa; Chordata; Mammalia; Primates; Hominidae. The record is from RNAcentral.